GUGUAGAGGCGGCAGGGUAGCCUAGUGGUUAGAGUGUAGAGGAGGCAGGGUAGCCUAGUGGUUAGAGUGUAGGGGCGGCAGGGUAGCCUAGUUGUUAGAGUGUAGAGGCGGCAGGGUAGCCUAGUGGUUAGAGUGUAGAGGCGGCAGGGUAGCCUAGUGGUUAGAGUGUAGAGGCGGCAGGGUAGCCUAGUGGUUAGAGUGUAGAGGCGGCAGGGUAGCCUAGUGGUUAGAGUGUAGAGGCGGCAGGGUAGCCUAGUGGUUAGAGUGUAGAGGCGGCAGGGUAGCCUAGUGGUUAGAGUGUAGAGGCGGCAGGGUAGCCUAGUGGUUAGAGUGUGGGGCGGCAGGGUAGCCUAGUGGUUAGAGUGUAGAGGCGGCAGGGUAGCCUAGUGGUUAGAGUGUAGAGGCGGCAGGUAGCCUAGUGGUUAGAGUGGAGGGGCGGCAGGGUAGCCUAGUGGUUAGAGUGUAGAGGCGGCAGGUAGCCU
Long non-coding RNA from Oncorhynchus keta (chum salmon), 482 nucleotides. RefSeq lists it as uncharacterized. The record is from RefSeq and is a predicted model, not a curated record. Lineage: Eukaryota; Metazoa; Chordata; Actinopteri; Salmoniformes; Salmonidae. The transcript has 3 exons.